RNAcentral lists this ribosomal RNA (169 nucleotides) under uncultured bacterium. Its description in RNAcentral is "partial 16S ribosomal RNA". It matches the Rfam family "Bacterial small subunit ribosomal RNA", at positions 338 to 524 of the family's 1533-position model. The record is from RNAcentral.
CCUACGGGAGGCAGCAGUGGGGAAUAUUGCGCAAUGGGGGAAACCCUGACGCAGCAACGCCGCGUGGGUGAAGAAGGCCUUCGGGUUGUAAAGCUCUGUCUUCUGGGACGAUAAUGACGGUACCAGAGGAGGAAGCCACGGCUAACUACGUGCCAGCAGCCGCGGUAAU